Molecule: transfer RNA, 85 nt
Filed under: Felis catus (domestic cat)
Lineage: Eukaryota; Metazoa; Chordata; Mammalia; Carnivora; Felidae
Rfam family: tRNA
About the family: Transfer RNA (tRNA) molecules are approximately 80 nucleotides in length. Their secondary structure includes four short double-helical elements and three loops (D, anti-codon, and T loops). Further hydrogen bonds mediate the characteristic L-shaped molecular structure. tRNAs have two regions of fundamental functional importance: the anti-codon, which is responsible for specific mRNA codon recognition, and the 3' end, to which the tRNAs corresponding amino acid is attached (by aminoacyl-tRNA synthetases). tRNAs cope with the degeneracy of the genetic code in two manners: having more than one tRNA (with a specific anti-codon) for a particular amino acid; and 'wobble' base-pairing, i.e. permitting non-standard base-pairing at the 3rd anti-codon position.
Source: Rfam by way of RNAcentral
GCCUGGGUGGCUCAGUCGGUUGAGCGUCCGACUUCAGCUCGGGUCAUGAUCUCACAGUUCGUGAGUUCAAGCCCCGCGUCGGGCU